RNAcentral lists this ribosomal RNA (512 nucleotides) under uncultured bacterium. RNAcentral describes it as "partial 16S ribosomal RNA". It matches the Rfam family "Bacterial small subunit ribosomal RNA", at positions 28 to 507 of the family's 1533-position model. The record is from RNAcentral.
GAUGAACGCUGGCGGCGUGCCUGAUACAUGCGAGUCGAACGAAGCUUCUUUAUCACCGAGUGCUUGCACUCACCGAUAAAGAGUUGAGUGGCGAACGGGUGAGUAACACGUGGGCAACCUGCCCAAAAGAGGGGGAUAACACUUGGAAACAGGUGCUAAUACCGCAUAACCAUAGUUACCGCAUGGUAACUAUGUAAAAGGUGGCUAUACUACCGCUUUUGGAUGGGCCCGCGGCGCAUUAGCUAGUUGGUAGGGUAAAGGCUUACCAAGGCAAUGAUGCGUAGCCGAAUUGAGAGGUUGAUCGGCCACAUUGGGACUGAGACACGGCCCAAACUCCUACGGGAGGCAGCAGUAGGGAAUCUUCCACAAUGGGCGAAAGCCUGAUGGAGCAACGCCGCGUGGGUGAAGAAGGUCUUCGGAUCGUAAAACCCUGUUGUUAGAGAAGAAAGUGCGUGAGAGUAACUGUUCACGUUUCGACGGUAUCUAACCAGAAAGCCACGGCUAACUACGUG